AACGCGAAGAACCUUACCUGGGCUCGAAAUGCUACGGACCAGCUUAUGAAAGUUUGCCUUCCCGCAAGGGACCGUAGUAUAGGUGCUGCAUGGCUGUCGUCAGCUCGUGUCGUGAGAUGUUGGGUUAAGUCCCGCAACGAGCGCAACCCUUGUCCUGUGUUGCCAUACCGAAAGGUGGAACUCGCAGGAGACCGCCAGCGAUAAGUUGGAGGAAGGUGGGGAUGAUGUCAAGUCAUCAUGGCCUUUAUGUCCAGGGCUACACACGUGCUACAAUGGUCGGUACAAAGCGCUGCAAACCCGCGAGGGGGAGCUAAUCGCAAAAAGCCGGCCUCAGUUCGGAUUGCAGGCUGCAACUCGCCUGCAUGAAGCUGGAAUCGCUAGUAAUGCCGUAUCAGAACGAUGGCGUGAAUACGUUCCCGGGCCUUGUACACACCGAGACGUA
Molecule: ribosomal RNA, 442 nt
Filed under: uncultured bacterium
Lineage: Bacteria
Description: bacterial SSU rRNA
Rfam family: Bacterial small subunit ribosomal RNA
Source: RNAcentral